RNAcentral lists this ribosomal RNA (505 nucleotides) under uncultured bacterium. RNAcentral's name for it is "partial 16S ribosomal RNA". It matches the Rfam family "Bacterial small subunit ribosomal RNA", at positions 28 to 507 of the family's 1533-position model. The record is from RNAcentral.
GACGAACGCUGGCGGCGUGCCUAAUACAUGCAAGUAGAACGCACAGUUUAUACCGUAGCUUGCUACACCAUAAACUGUGAGUUGCGAACGGGUGAGUAACGCGUAGGUAACCUGCCUGGUAGCGGGGGAUAACUAUUGGAAACGAUAGCUAAUACCGCAUAAUAUUAAUUAUUGCAUGAUAAUUGAUUGAAAGAUGCAAUUGCAUCACUACCAGAUGGACCUGCGUUGUAUUAGCUAGUAGGUGAGGUAACGGCUCACCUAGGCGACGAUACAUAGCCGACCUGAGAGGGUGAUCGGCCACACUGGGACUGGGACACGGCCCAGACUCCUAAGGGAGGCAGCAGUAGGGAAUCUUCGGAAAUGGACGAAAGUCUGACCGAGCAACGCCGCGUGAGUGAAGAAGGUUUUCGGAUCGUAAAGCUCUGUUGUAAGAGAAGAACGGGUGUGAGAGUGGAAAGUUCACGCUGUGACGGUAUCUUACCAGAAAGCGACGGCUAACUACGUG